AGUGAACGCUGGCGGUAGGCCUAACACAUGCAAGUCGAACGGCCGCACCGUAAGAGCUUGCUCUUACGGGUGGCGAGUGGCGGACGGGUGAGGAAUACAUCCGAAUCUACUUUUUCGUAGGGGAUAACGUAGGGAAACUUACGCUACUACCGCAUACGACCUACGGGUGAAAGCAGGGGAGCUUCGGACCUUGCGCGAUUGAAUGAGCCGAUGUCGAAUUAGCUAGUUGUCGGGGUAAUGGCCCACCAAGGCGACGAUCCGUAGCUGGUCUGAGAGGAUGAUCAGCCACAUUGGAACUGAGACACAGUCCAGACUCCUACGGGGAGCAGCAGUGGGGAAUAUUGGACAAUGGGCGCGAGCCUGAUCCAGCCAUACCGCGUGAGUGAAGAAGGCCUUCGGGUUGUAAAGCCCUUUUGUUGGGAAAGAAAAGCAGCAGGUUAAUACGCCGCUGUUCUGACGGUACCCAAAGAAUAAGCACCGGCUAACUUCGUG
RNAcentral lists this ribosomal RNA (492 nucleotides) under uncultured bacterium. Its description in RNAcentral is "partial 16S ribosomal RNA". It matches the Rfam family "Bacterial small subunit ribosomal RNA", at positions 29 to 507 of the family's 1533-position model. The record is from RNAcentral.